GACGAACGCUGGCGGCGUGCUUAACACAUGCCAGUCGAACGGAAAGGCCCUGCUUUUGUGGGGUGCUCGAGUGGCGAACGGGUGAGUAACACGUGAGUAACCUGCCCUUGACUUUGGGAUAACUUCAGGAAACUGGGGCUAAUACCGGAUAGGAGCUCCUGCUGCAUGGUGGGGGUUGGAAAGUUUCGGCGGUUGGGGAUGGACUCGCGGCUUAUCAGCUUGUUGGUGGGGUAGUGGCUUACCAAGGCUUUGACGGGUAGCCGGCCUGAGAGGGUGACCGGCCACAUUGGGACUGAGAUACGGCCCAGACUCCUACGGGAGGCAGCAGUGGGGAAUAUUGCACAAUGGGCGGAAGCCUGAUGCAGCAACGCCGCGUGCGGGAUGACGGCCUUCGGGUUGUAAACCGCUUUCGCCUGUGAUGAAGCGUGAGUGACGGUAAUGGGUAAAGAAGCACCGGCUAACUACGUG
RNAcentral lists this ribosomal RNA (468 nucleotides) under uncultured bacterium. RNAcentral's name for it is "partial 16S ribosomal RNA". It matches the Rfam family "Bacterial small subunit ribosomal RNA", at positions 28 to 507 of the family's 1533-position model. The record is from RNAcentral.